GACGAACGCUGGCGGCGUGCCUAACACAUGCAAGUCAACUUGACGGAAGGAGCAAUCUGACCGUAGAGUGGCGCAAGGGUGCGUAACGCGUAAGUAACUUGCCCAAGGUAAGGAAUAACGUCGAGAAAUCGGCGCUAAUACCUCAUAAUGCAGCGGAUCCGCAUGGAUAUGUUGUUAAAAGGUUUACCGCCUUGGGAUAGGCUUGCGUCUGAUUAGCUAGUUGGUGUGGUAACGGCACACCAAGGCUACGAUCAGUAACUGGUCUGAGAGGAUGAUCAGUCACACUGGAACUGAGACACGGUCCAGACUCCUACGGAGGCAGCAGUGAGGAAUAUUGGGCAAUGCUCGAAAGAGUGACCAGCAACGCCGCGUGGAGGAUGAAGGUAUUCUAUAUCGUAAACUACCUGUGUGAGCAGACGAAAGACAGA
This 428-nucleotide ribosomal RNA is filed under the name uncultured bacterium. RNAcentral's name for it is "bacterial SSU rRNA". It matches the Rfam family "Bacterial small subunit ribosomal RNA", at positions 28 to 456 of the family's 1533-position model. The record is from RNAcentral.